AUUUGAGGGUGAUUUGUAUACUUCUUUCUUGCGAAAAUAGACGCGCGAAAGAGGCCAUUUUGGCCCAGAUCCACCGCGGAGCGCCUUCAGCCCCCACUUCUCCCGAGCGCCGCCCCUGUUUCUCCCCCCACCCCGCGCCGCCGCCCAUCCUCCACCCACCGGCUGCCUCGCCGUCACCCCCCGGCGCCGCCGCCCCUCCCCGUCCUCUAGGAGCAUAGAUCCUCCCCGCCCCCUUCCCGAGCAUGAGGAGCCCCCAGCUAGCCCUCUCAUCGGCGCCGCCGCCCCUCCCUGUCCGCUAGGGUUGAGGUCGCACGGCCAUCUCUCCGCCGGCAGGGCCGACUCCUCCGGCGGCAAGGUGCUCCGGCGUGAAGGUGCUCAGAGGUGCCGCUGCUGAUCUCCUCCUCAUGCAACAACAAGAAGUAACCAGAUGUGCAGUGUAUAUGCAUCAACAAGGAGGCACCUGAACAAUAUUUAUUCAAAGCAAGACGCAAAAUAAAAAAAUGAUGCUCAAGUUAACCUCUCGCUAGGAUUUAAUAAUAUUGUUUCUUCUUGUUAAACUUUAUUUUCGUUCUUUUGUUAGGUUGAUGUACUAAAUAAUUAAAACAUAUGUGAGUUGAUUGUUGUACAGUUUUUGCAUCUGUUGUAUGGAGCUGGGACUUGCUUAGUAAGAGUUGUUAUGUAAUUAUAAGAUCUGAUUCUGUAACACCAAUAAACUUCCUAGAAAUUUGCGUCUUUUCACUGAAUCUAUGAUACUAAAUUGUAUGAUGUUGUAUUUCAUAUAUAUGUUAUACAUACACGUGCAGACUUUACUAGACACAUAUAAUGAGUAGAUAAGUUCAGUCUCCAUUUGUUUCUUUAAGAAGAUGUGCGGUAUGCUGUUGUAUCUCAGUUCUCAUAUACUGUAAUACUCCCUCCGGUAUGCUGUUGUAUCUAUUUUGGAACAGUGGGAGUAUAUAUUAACAGAAAGAAUCAUGUUGUAUUCUUCAGAUUUAUACUGAAGGUGUGUCCCUAUUUUGAUGCAAUUCUUCUUUUUUUACAUAUGAGGAAGCGUUCUGCAGCAAAAAACACGCUCACUGAGCAUGUCGUUAUGGAUUACGUAAUGAAGCAUAGAAAAUGAAGAGGAUAAUCAAGUCGAGAGCCACCGGCGAUGAUGUGUAGUUGCUGGAUGAGCUUCUCAUCCACACCUUGGCUGCAAACCGUGUCUGCAGGUGCAGCAUGGAUCAUAUGAUUAGUUUCAGGGGGCUAAGCGAUGAAGAGGAUAAUCAAGCAGAAUACCGACAACGAGGACAUACAGUGGCUGCGUGUGCUUCUCAUCCACUCCCCCGCUGUAUCCCAUGUCCAGGGUGCAGUGUUCUCAGUCAGGACAAGCAAGCCCAGUGACUCCCACUACGGCUCAUGGCGCUUCGACCUCCUUGCAACAAUGAUCACUCGAGGUUUGCAUUGUGGAUGCCGUUGACGGUGGGCAUACAUGCUACGGUGGAGCUCAUUGCAUGUUUGAGGUUCAUGCUUGGUGUGAACUUGGAACUCAUGCUUUUGUUUGUGAACCUUGUUGGAUAUGUACCUGUGUGGACUUUGGACUCAUGGUCAAUUUGUUAUGGUUGUCAAGUUGUAAUAUAUUGUUGUUGUGAACC
Molecule: long non-coding RNA, 1631 nt
Organism: Triticum aestivum (bread wheat)
Lineage: Eukaryota; Viridiplantae; Streptophyta; Magnoliopsida; Poales; Poaceae
Exons: 7
Source: RefSeq, a predicted model, not a curated record